Molecule: long non-coding RNA, 210 nt
Filed under: Lathyrus oleraceus (garden pea)
Lineage: Eukaryota; Viridiplantae; Streptophyta; Magnoliopsida; Fabales; Fabaceae
Description: Pisum sativum (pea) long non-coding RNA (PSAT_LNC028382)
Source: RNAcentral
CUCUUUUCUCCAUUACAAUACACCUCCCCACCAUAGUCCCACGGCACAGCAUCAUCAUUUUCAUACGGAAUAGGUCCAGGCACCGUGAUGGUAACUGGAGCCGCAUCUGCCGGUACUGACAAGUGGACAGGAUCAAAAUAAAUGGUUAUUUUUGAAACAUCCUCCUUCUCCAAAGCAACUUUCUCAAAUCGGAGGCUUCCCUCAUCCAUC